GGGGGGAUAGCUCAGGGAUGGAGCAUGAGCUUAGCAUGCACGGGGUCCUGGGUUCGAUCCUCAGUCCUUCCA
This 72-nucleotide transfer RNA is filed under the name Camelus bactrianus (Bactrian camel). It matches the Rfam family "tRNA". From Rfam's summary of the family: Transfer RNA (tRNA) molecules are approximately 80 nucleotides in length. Their secondary structure includes four short double-helical elements and three loops (D, anti-codon, and T loops). RNAcentral also lists the same sequence under 2 other names. Lineage: Eukaryota; Metazoa; Chordata; Mammalia; Artiodactyla; Camelidae. The record is from Rfam by way of RNAcentral.